Molecule: ribosomal RNA, 673 nt
Filed under: Scopaeus beesoni
Lineage: Eukaryota; Metazoa; Arthropoda; Insecta; Coleoptera; Staphylinidae
Description: partial large subunit ribosomal RNA
Rfam family: Eukaryotic large subunit ribosomal RNA
Source: RNAcentral
AGAGAGUUCAUAGUACGUGAAACCGUUCAGGGGUAAACCUGAGAAACCCGAAAGUUCGAAUGGGGAGAUUCAGCGUGUAUCGUUGUUGGAGAGGUUUGGUCGCGUGACGAUCCGGUGCUUGCACCUGGCUGCGCCUUCUGAGCCCAAUUCCUUCCGCGAGCGCGUGCACUUCUCCCCUAGUAGGACGUUGCGACCCGUUGGGCGCCGGUCUACGGCCGACGGUGUAGACUUUUGGUAGUUCUUCGGAUCGACCUUAAGACCCGUCGUGUCCCGGCCGUCCCGCUCGACGGUAGGACAGAAACGUGGGGUCGCGACUAGUUCGCGUCCGGCCCGUCACAAGUAUGGGCGAUCGCUUGGAAGCCGGACGUAUGUGCCGGCCCCGGGCACGACCUGCUGCUGGUGGCGGUGUCCUCGGACAGACUUCGAGCACGUUGGUCGGCGACGCUUUAGCUUUGGGUACUUUCAGGACCCGUCUUGAAACACGGACCAAGGAGUCUAGCAUGUGCGCGAGUCAUUGGGACUUGAUAAACCUAAAGGCGAAAUGAAAGUGAAGACAGGCCUUGCGCCUGUCGAGGGAGGAUGGGUCGGCUCCGGCCGCUACCCCGCACUCCCGGGGCGUCUCAUUCUCAUCACGAGAGGAGGCGCACCCAGAGCGUACACGCUGGGACCCGAA